GCAUAUCAUAAGCGCAGGAAAAGAAACCAACAGGGAUUGCCUCAGUAACGGCGAGUGAAGCGGCAACAGCUCAAAUUUGAAAUCUGGCCUCUUGGGGUCCGAGUUGUAAUUUGUAGAGGAUGUUUCGGGUACCGCCUCGGUUUAAAUUUCUUGGAACAGAAUGUCAAAGAGGGUGAGAAUCCCGUCUUGGACCGGCGGUAGGGCCUAUGUGAAACUCCUUCGACGAGUCGAGUUGUUUGGGAAUGCAGCUCAAAAUGGGUGGUAAAUUUCAUCUAAAGCUAAAUAUUGGCCAGAGACCGAUAGCGCACAAGUAGAGUGAUCGAAAGAUGAAAAGCACUUUGAAAAGAGAGUUAAACAGUAUGUGAAAUUGUUGAAAGGGAAGCGCUUGCAACCAGACUUGAGCGCGGCGGUUCCCCCUUGCUUCUGCUUGGGUUACUCCGCCGUGUCCAGGCCAACAUCGGUUCUGGGGGUCGGUCAAAGGCUCUGGGAAUGUAUCUACCCACGGGUAGACUUAUAGACCAGGGUGUCAUGCGACCUCCCGGGACCGAGGAACGCGCUUCGGCUCGGAUGUUGGCGUAAUGGUUGUCAGCGACCCGUCUUGAAACACGGACCAAGGAGUCUAACAUCUAUGCGAGUGUUUGGGUGUCAAACCCGGAACGCGGAAUGAAAGUGAACGGAGGUAGGAAGCUUCGGCUGCACUAUCGACCGAUCCUGAAGUUUACGGAUGGAUUUGAGUAAGAGCAUAGCUGUUGGGACCCGAAAGAUGGUGAACUAUGCCUGAAUAGGGUGAAGCCAGAGGAAACUCUGGUGGAGGCUCGCAGCGGUUCUGACGUGCAAAUCGAUCGUCAAAUUUGGGUAUAGGGGCGAAAGACUAAUCGAACCAUCUGGUAGCUGGGUUCUGCGA
This 904-nucleotide ribosomal RNA is filed under the name Fonsecaea pedrosoi. RNAcentral's name for it is "LSU rRNA". It matches the Rfam family "Eukaryotic large subunit ribosomal RNA", at positions 38 to 963 of the family's 3401-position model. The record is from RNAcentral. Lineage: Eukaryota; Fungi; Ascomycota; Eurotiomycetes; Chaetothyriales; Herpotrichiellaceae.